This is a small nucleolar RNA of Grammomys surdaster, 141 nucleotides long. RefSeq annotates it as small nucleolar RNA SNORA48. The transcript has a single exon. The record is from RefSeq and is a predicted model, not a curated record. NCBI's taxonomy places the organism in Eukaryota, Metazoa, Chordata, Mammalia, Rodentia, Muridae.
CCCCCAUGGCAAUGGGCAAAGAGACACCUUGUUGGUGGUAUUCUUGCAUCAGUCAGGGGCAGAGCAGAUGGCAGUCCUUUGUUUAUCCUAGCUUGAUGCUUGGUUUAGUGGCCAAAGCUGUCUUAGGCUUAAGACUCAUAA